Molecule: unclassified non-coding RNA, 253 nt
Filed under: uncultured Caryophanales bacterium
Lineage: Bacteria; Bacillati; Bacillota; Bacilli; Caryophanales
Description: uncultured Bacillales bacterium contains 16S-23S intergenic spacer region
Rfam family: Bacterial small subunit ribosomal RNA
Source: RNAcentral
UACGUAGGUGGCAAGCGUUGUCCGGAAUUAUUGGGCGUAAAGCGCGCGCAGGCGGUCUCUUAAGUCUGAUGUGAAAGCCCACGGCUCAACCGUGGAGGGCCAUUGGAAACUGGGAGACUUGAGUACAGAAGAGGAAAGUGGAAUUCCACGUGUAGCGGUGAAAUGCGUAGAGAUCUGGAGGAACACCAGAGGCGAAGGCGGCUUUCUGGUCUGUAACUGACGCUGAGGCGCGAAAGCGUGGGGAGCAAACGGG